UACGUAGGGUGCAAGCGUUAAUCGGAAUUAUUGGGCGUAAAGAGCUCGUAGGCGGUUUGUCGCGUCUGCUGUGAAAACCCGAGGCUCAACCUCGGGCCUGCAGUGGGUACGGGCAGACUAGAGUGCGGUAGGGGAGAUUGGAAUUCCUGGUGUAGCGGUGGAAUGCGCAGAUAUCAGGAGGAACACCAAUGGCGAAGGCAGAUCUCUGGGCCGUAACUGACGCUGAGGAGCGAAAGCAUGGGGAGCGAACAGG
RNAcentral lists this ribosomal RNA (253 nucleotides) under uncultured bacterium. RNAcentral describes it as "partial 16S ribosomal RNA". It matches the Rfam family "Bacterial small subunit ribosomal RNA", at positions 524 to 776 of the family's 1533-position model. The record is from RNAcentral.